RNAcentral lists this ribosomal RNA (872 nucleotides) under Vibrio alginolyticus. Its description in RNAcentral is "bacterial SSU rRNA". It matches the Rfam family "Bacterial small subunit ribosomal RNA", at positions 54 to 907 of the family's 1533-position model. Lineage: Bacteria; Pseudomonadati; Pseudomonadota; Gammaproteobacteria; Vibrionales; Vibrionaceae. The record is from RNAcentral.
CAUGCAGUCGAGCGGAACGAGUUAUCUGAACCUUCGGGGAACGAUAACGGCGUCGAGCGGCGGACGGGUGAGUAAUGCCUAGGAAAUUGCCCUGAUGUGGGGGAUAACCAUUGGAAACGAUGGCUAAUACCGCAUGAUGCCUACGGGCCAAAGAGGGGGACCUUCGGGCCUCUCGCGUCAGGAUAUGCCUAGGUGGGAUUAGCUAGUUGGUGAGGUAAGGGCUCACCAAGGCGACGAUCCCUAGCUGGUCUGAGAGGAUGAUCAGCCACACUGGAACUGAGACACGGUCCAGACUCCUACGGGAGGCAGCAGUGGGGAAUAUUGCACAAUGGGCGCAAGCCUGAUGCAGCCAUGCCGCGUGUGUGAAGAAGGCCUUCGGGUUGUAAAGCACUUUCAGUCGUGAGGAAGGUAGUGUAGUUAAUAGCUGCAUUAUUUGACGUUAGCGACAGAAGAAGCACCGGCUAACUCCGUGCCAGCAGCCGCGGUAAUACGGAGGGUGCGAGCGUUAAUCGGAAUUACUGGGCGUAAAGCGCAUGCAGGUGGUUUGUUAAGUCAGAUGUGAAAGCCCGGGGCUCAACCUCGGAAUUGCAUUUGAAACUGGCAGACUAGAGUACUGUAGAGGGGGGUAGAAUUUCAGGUGUAGCGGUGAAAUGCGUAGAGAUCUGAAGGAAUACCGGUGGCGAAGGCGGCCCCCUGGACAGAUACUGACACUCAGAUGCGAAAGCGUGGGGAGCAAACAGGAUUAGAUACCCUGGUAGUCCACGCCGUAAACGAUGUCUACUUGGAGGUUGUGGCCUUGAGCCGUGGCUUUCGGAGCUAACGCGUUAAGUAGACCGCCUGGGGAGUACGGUCGCAAGAUUAAAACUCAAAUG